RNAcentral lists this ribosomal RNA (929 nucleotides) under uncultured bacterium. RNAcentral describes it as "bacterial SSU rRNA". It matches the Rfam family "Bacterial small subunit ribosomal RNA", at positions 33 to 951 of the family's 1533-position model. The record is from RNAcentral.
ACGCUGGCUACAGGCUUAACACAUGCAAGUCAAGGGGCAGCAUGGGGUUUGCUUGCAAACCCCGAUGGCGACCGGCGCACGGGUGAGUAUCGCGUAUCCAACCUUCCCGCGACUCGGGUAUAACCUGCCGAAAGGCAGACUAAUCCCCGAUGUCCUCCACUUUGGACAUCUUUUGUGGAGUAAAGGCUUCGGCCGGUUGCGGAUGGGGAUGCGUCCGAUUAGUUUGUUGGCGGGGCAAUGGCCCACCAAGGCUUCGAUCGGUAGGGGUUCUGAGAGGAAGGCCCCCCACAUUGGAACUGAGACACGGUCCAAACUCCUACGGGAGGCAGCAGUGAGGAAUAUUGGUCAAUGGGCGGAAGCCUGAACCAGCCAAGUAGCGUGCAGGAUGACGGCCCUAUGGGUUGUAAACUGCUUUUAUGCGGGGAUAACCGGGGCCACGCGUGGCCCCCUGCAGGUACCGCAUGAAUAAGGACCGGCUAAUUCCGUGCCAGCAGCCGCGGUAAUACGGAAGGUCCGGGCGUUAUCCGGAUUCAUUGGGUUUAAAGGGAGCGUAGGCCGUGGAUUAAGCGUGUUGUGAAAUGUAGGCGCUCAACGUCUGACUUGCAGCGCGAACUGGUCCACUUGAGUGUGCGCGACGCAGGCGGAAUUCGUGGUGUAGCGGUGAAAUGCUUAGAUAUCACGAGGAACCCCGAUUGCGAAGGCAGCUUGCGGGAGCACCACUGACGCUGAGGCUCGAAGGUGCGGGUAUCGAACAGGAUUAGAUACCCUGGUAGUCCGCACGGUAAACGAUGGAUGCCCGUUCUCUGGCUCUUUUUGUCGGGGGACCGAGCGAAAGCAUUGAGCAUCCCACCUGGGGAGUACGCCGGCAACGGUGAAACUCAAAGGAAUUGACGGGGGCCCGCACAAGCGGAGGAACAUGUGGUUUAAUU